Molecule: ribosomal RNA, 274 nt
Filed under: uncultured bacterium
Lineage: Bacteria
Description: partial 16S ribosomal RNA
Rfam family: Bacterial small subunit ribosomal RNA
Source: RNAcentral
AUACGGAGGGUGCAAGCGUUACUCGGAAUCACUGGGCGUAAAGCGCGCGCAGGCGGCUUGGUAAGUUGGAUGUGAAAGCCUACGGCUCAACCGUAGAACUGCAUCCAAAACUGUCAAGCUAGAGUGUGGGAGAGGGAGAUGGAAUUAGUUGUGUAGGGGUAAAAUCCGUAGAGAUAACUAGGAAUACCAAAAGCGAAGGCAAUCUUCUGGAACACUACUGACGCUGAGGCGCGAAAGCGUGGGGAGCAAACAGGAUUAGAAACCCUAGUAGUCC